CCUACGGGAGGCAGCAGUGGGGAAUAUUGCGCAAUGGGCGAAAGCCUGACGCAGCGACGCCGCGUGAGGGAUGAAGGUCUUCGGAUCGUAAACCUCUGUCAGCAGGGAAGAACGGUCACUGUGCUAAUCAGCAGUGAAUUGACGGUACCUGCAAAGGAAGCACCGGCUAACUCCGUGCCAGCAGCCGCGGUAAUACGGAGGGUGCGAGCGUUAAUCGGAAUUACUGGGCGUAAAGCGCUCGUAGGCGGUAUGUCAAGUCAAGGGUGAAAUCCCCGCGCUCAACGUGGGAACUGCCUUUGAAACGGGCAAACUGGAGUGUGUGAGAGGAUAGUGGAAUUCCAGGGGUAGGAGUGAAAGCCGUAGAUAUCUGGAGGAACAUCAGGGGCGAAGGCGACUAUCUGGCACAUAACUGACGCUGAGGAGCGAAAGCGUGGGUAGCAAACAGGAUUAGAUACCCCUGUAGUC
This 465-nucleotide ribosomal RNA is filed under the name uncultured bacterium. Its description in RNAcentral is "partial 16S ribosomal RNA". It matches the Rfam family "Bacterial small subunit ribosomal RNA", at positions 338 to 795 of the family's 1533-position model. The record is from RNAcentral.